GACGAACGCUAGCGGCAGGCCUAAUACAUGCAAGUCGUACGGCAACACAGUUGCGAGCAAUCGCAACCGGUGGCGAGUGGCGCACGGGUGAGUAACGCGUAUGUAACCUACCCUUCUCCGGGACAUAACUCCGCGAAAGCGGUGCUAAUAUCCCAUACCAACUCAUCAAGACAUCUUCUUGAGUUGAAAGCAGCAAUGCGGUGAAGGAUGGGCAUGCGUCCCAUUAGCUAGUUGGCGGGUAACGGCCCACCAAGGCGACGAUCGAUAGCUGGUCUGAGAGGAUGAUCAGCCACACUGGAACUGAGACACGGUCCAGACUCCUACGGGGGGCAGCAGUGGGGAAUCUUCCACAAUGGGCGAAAGCCUGAUGGAGCGACGCCGCGUGAGCGAAGAAGGCCUUCGGGUUGUAAAGCUCUGUCUGGAGGGACGAAGGAAGUGACGGUACCUCCGGAGGAAGCCACGGCUAACUACGUGCCAGCACGG
RNAcentral lists this ribosomal RNA (483 nucleotides) under uncultured bacterium. Its description in RNAcentral is "bacterial SSU rRNA". It matches the Rfam family "Bacterial small subunit ribosomal RNA", at positions 28 to 516 of the family's 1533-position model. The record is from RNAcentral.